CCUUAAUUGACAGUGGCCAACUGUUUCAUAAUUUUAGGCUUGUUCUACACUCAUGGGGGUUUCCCACCCCAUCUAUACUUUCAAACUUACUUCCUUAAUUUUCCUUUCAAAUCCAGGAAUGAGAUGGCCCAGAUUUUUUACCCAGUAAAAGCCUUCAUAAGGCAUUUCAAAUAGCAUUUGGAUGUUGGGCAUUAGUGCCUCCUGAAAAUCAUCUGUUUUGUAUAUGUACUGCCUGUAAAUCUAGCACUGCCUUUCAAAGAUUAGCAAUUCCUCAGAAAAAAGUGAGUAAUUUUAUUACCUCAGUCAUUUGGUUUUCAAUACACUACAAAGGUCAAGGAGGAAUCAAUGCUUUAUUGUGCAACAAUACUACUAAAAGUGAAACAGAUAAAUGAAAGCAGAUUACCUGAAUUGUUGUGUACUGAAUGUACUGUAACUGUUGUACGCUGAGAUUCCCCACAGGAAUCUGGUUGGCCACAGUGAAAACAGGAUGCUGGACUAGAUGGACCAUUGACCUGAUCCAGUGGGCUUUUCUUAUGUUCUUAUAUAAACCUUGGUAGCAGACAGCUACUUUAAGAAGUGUGAGCAGAGUCUUGGUGCUGGCUGAGCCUGGUGGCAAGGCACCUACUGUUAUUUUUUAAUGUGGGCUGCCGGCAAGUCCCACAUAAUAGCCAUCAACAUUCCUUCAAUAGACCCUAGGUGGGCAGGGUGCCUGCGGGGGUGCUGCCACUUGGGAUUCCACUGCCUGAGGCAACCUCCUCAGUCCACCUCAUGGGUGAGCCGGCCCUGUGGAAGGGCAAAUUGUGCUUUGAUUUCAGCUACUUUGAAAGGGGGAGAAGGGAUGCUGGAUCCUCCCGUCAACCUCCGGCACAGUGGACAAUCUCAGUGGAGGCAGCCACCAGAUGAGAGAAGGCUACUCAGGAGGCAACUGCAGCUGAUCAGGAGCCUGAACAAGAGGGUGCCCUAUGGGAGCAGGCCCACCUACCCCAUAGGUGCGCACAUUUACAAUCUCAACAUUCUCAUAAAAGCUAGAGAGUCUCAUCAUUAAAAGCUUGGUGGGCAGGCUGUGGUAACUGUUAGGACAUCUUCUUUGAUUCCAUCCAGUUCUGAACAUCUUGCCUGAUCCCUGAACUCCUGAAUUGUGACUCGUGAACUCUGCUUCCAAGCCUGUACAGUUACUUGC
Non-coding RNA from Podarcis lilfordi (Lilford's wall lizard), 1180 nucleotides. Lineage: Eukaryota; Metazoa; Chordata; Lepidosauria; Squamata; Lacertidae. The record is from the annotation of a GenBank genome assembly.